AAUAAAACAUAUACAACUCCCAUAU
Molecule: small RNA, 25 nt
Filed under: Arabidopsis thaliana (thale cress)
Lineage: Eukaryota; Viridiplantae; Streptophyta; Magnoliopsida; Brassicales; Brassicaceae
Description: ATSL099460
Source: RNAcentral